This 253-nucleotide ribosomal RNA is filed under the name uncultured bacterium. RNAcentral's name for it is "partial 16S ribosomal RNA". It matches the Rfam family "Bacterial small subunit ribosomal RNA", at positions 524 to 776 of the family's 1533-position model. The record is from RNAcentral.
UACGUAGGGGGCUAGCGUUGUCCGGAUUUAUUGGGCGUAAAGAGCGUGUAGGCGGCAAAGCAGGCCCGGGGUGAAAACUCGAGGCUUAACCUCGAGAUGUCAUCGGAAACCAUUUGGCUAGAGUCCGGAAGAGGAAAGUGGAAUUCCUGGUGUAGCGGUGAAAUGCGCAGAUAUCAGGAAGAACACCAAUGGCGAAAGCAGCUUUCUGGGACGGUACUGACGCUGAGACGCGAAAGCGUGGGGAGCGAACAGG